Molecule: ribosomal RNA, 905 nt
Filed under: uncultured bacterium
Lineage: Bacteria
Description: bacterial SSU rRNA
Rfam family: Bacterial small subunit ribosomal RNA
Source: RNAcentral
ACGCUGGCGGCAGGCUUAACACAUGCAAGUCGAACGAUGAAGUCUAGCUUGCUAGACGGAUUAGUGGCGAACGGGUGAGUAAUGCUUAGGAAUCUGCCUAUUAGUGGGGGAUAACGUAGGGAAACUUACGCUAAUACCGCAUACGUCUUACGAGAGAAAGGGGGCUUUUAGCUCUCGCUAAUAGAUGAGCCUAAGUCGGAUUAGCUAGUUGGUGGGGUAAAGGCCUACCAAGGCGACGAUCUGUAGCUGGUCUGAGAGGAUGAUCAGCCACACUGGGACUGAGACACGGCCCAGACUCCUACGGGAGGCAGCAGUGGGGAAUAUUGGACAAUGGGCGAAAGCCUGAUCCAGCCAUGCCGCGUGUGUGAAGAAGGCCUUUUGGUUGUAAAGCACUUUAAGUGGGGAGGAAAAGUUGACGGUUAAUACCCGCCAGCCCUGACGUUACCCACAGAAUAAGCACCGGCUAACUCUGUGCCAGCAGCCGCGGUAAUACAGAGGGUGCAAGCGUUAAUCGGAAUUACUGGGCGUAAAGCGAGCGUAGGUGGUCAUUUAAGUCAGAUGUGAAAUCCCCGGGCUUAACCUGGGAACCGCAUCUGAUACUGGGUGACUAGAGUAGGUGAGAGGGAAGUAGAAUUCCAGGUGUAGCGGUGAAAUGCGUAGAGAUCUGGAGGAAUACCGAUGGCGAAGGCAGCUUCCUGGCAUCAUACUGACACUGAGGUUCGAAAGCGUGGGUAGCAAACAGGAUUAGAUACCCUGGUAGUCCACGCCGUAAACGAUGUCUACCAGUCGUUGGGUCUCUUGAAGACUUAGUGACGCAGUUAACGCGAUAAGUAGACCGCCUGGGGAGUACGGCCGCAAGGUUAAAACUCAAAUGAAUUGACGGGGCCCGCACAAGCGGUGGAGCA